This 253-nucleotide ribosomal RNA is filed under the name uncultured bacterium. RNAcentral describes it as "partial 16S ribosomal RNA". It matches the Rfam family "Bacterial small subunit ribosomal RNA", at positions 524 to 776 of the family's 1533-position model. The record is from RNAcentral.
UACGUAAGGGGCGAGCGUUGUUCGGAAUCAUUGGGCGUAAAGGGUGCGUAGGCGGGACACCAAGUCAGAUGUGCAAUAUUAGGGCUCAACUUUGAUACUGCGUCUGAAACUCGUGUUCUAGAGGUUUGCAGAGGUUAGCGGAAUUCCAGGUGUAGGAGUGAAAUCUAUAGAUAUCUGGAAGAACACCGGUGGCGAAGGCGGCUAACUGGGUUUUACCUGACGCUGAAGCACGAAAGCGUGGGGAGCGAACAGG